RNAcentral lists this transfer RNA (71 nucleotides) under Pseudofabraea citricarpa. RNAcentral's name for it is "tRNA-Thr". It matches the Rfam family "tRNA". Rfam says of the family: Transfer RNA (tRNA) molecules are approximately 80 nucleotides in length. Lineage: Eukaryota; Fungi; Ascomycota; Leotiomycetes; Helotiales; Dermateaceae. The record is from RNAcentral.
GCCUAGUUAGCAUAAAAGUAAUGUGGCUGUUUUGUAACCAGCAUAAACAAGUGCGAUACUUGUACUGGGCU